CUUGUGGAUGAUCCAAGAAGUGGUUCUUGAGAUGGAAUCCACUCCUGGUGAAGAUGCUGUUGA
RNAcentral lists this microRNA precursor (63 nucleotides) under Marmota monax (woodchuck). The record is from RNAcentral. Lineage: Eukaryota; Metazoa; Chordata; Mammalia; Rodentia; Sciuridae.